UAGCCCGGACCCUGGCCGGACAGCGGCUGAGGGUAGGACGUCCCCACGGCUUCCGGCUCUGAGGGAGGAGGCAACCCCCUCGUGCUCUGUCUUCUAACGUCCCGGAGCCCGAGGGUUUUGAAACUGCGGAGAAUGACAGCAAAUUACCAGCUAAAAGCCCUGGGUUGUUGGAGGUGGGAAAGACAAGCCCUGGGAGCAGCUCAAGCCCACGGACACUCCUCAAGCGUGGAACACAUACUCUUUCCCCACCCCUGCCCGCGCUCCAAGGGGAUCUCAUGCCAGUUAGAAAAAGACACCCCUUCCUCCAGGAAGAAGCAGCUUCAUGCCAGGGGCAGGGGUUCAGCCCCCACCGAUCCCUUAGCCAAGAGCACUUGAGCAGUGAACAACAUACACAACUAUACCGUGGUCUCAUGGCCGUGUACCUGUAAACCACCCCCCACCCCCCACCCACAACCGGAUGCCUGGUCUCAGCAAGUGGCUGUGUCUUUCCUCCAUGGUGGUUUGUGCUGAGUCAAGUGGCCUGGCAGGAAACUUGCUUCCUGGAAUCUCCUCUCCUCUAGGAGUCUGAGUUGGAAUUCGCCGGUGGAGAAAUCUGUGCUUGGAGGGCCACCAUGGCUAGCGAUGGGAGGGACGGACACAGAAGUGCCAGCGGGGGCCAGCUUGUCCCCAUUCCUUCUUCUACAUGUCCUCCUCCUGAUCCGCGGCCAGUGCUCCCUCCAGACUGCUGGCCCUGCUGACUCACAGUGACCCAGUAUUUCCACCGGAUGCUCGGCUGUGAUCUCACCGAGUGGAGGCUGCAAAGACAAGGCGGCCUUCCCUAGACUUCUGUCGGUGUCUACACUGGCCCCGGCCUCCUGCGCCAGCUGCUGGACCCGCCUGACUUCCAGCUUGUCCACGAGCUCCGCUGGUGCCUCUGCUACAGAGGGCUGGCUGGUGACGGUCCCCGGGUCCCCGUAAAACUUCCCGCUUUGGACCUUUACUUCCCAGACCCUCCCCCGGGGCAGUAAGGCUAAUUGCUGUGCUAUAAAACUCACAGUGGCUCUGCUUCUGAUGGAGCCCGAA
Acinonyx jubatus (cheetah) is the source of this 1062-nucleotide long non-coding RNA. RefSeq lists it as uncharacterized. The transcript has 2 exons. Lineage: Eukaryota; Metazoa; Chordata; Mammalia; Carnivora; Felidae. The record is from RefSeq and is a predicted model, not a curated record.